AACGAACGCUGGCGGCAUGCCUAACACAUGCAAGUCGAACGAGACCUUCGGGUCUAGUGGCGCACGGGUGCGUAACGCGUGGGAACCUGCCCUUAGGUUCGGAAUAACUCCCCGAAAGGGGUGCUAAUACCGGAUAAUGUCUUCGGACCAAAGAUUUAUCGCCUUUGGAUGGGCCCGCGUUGGAUUAGCUAGUUGGUAGGGUAAAAGCCUACCAAGGCGACGAUCCAUAGCUGGUCUGAGAGGAUGAUCAGCCACACUGGGACUGAGACACGGCCCAGACUCGCAGGGGGGGCAGGACUGAGGAUUAUCGCACGCGCGCACACUCCCUGAUCCAAUACGGCAGCGUCGGGUCAGAAUGCCUUGGGCUUGUAAUUGUCUUCCCACCAGGAUAAUAACGCCAGCAGCGGAAGCACCACCCCCUCCCCCCCCCGCGCCAGCAGCGGCGCUAAUAACCGGAGCAGCAUCCUCCUAACC
Molecule: ribosomal RNA, 474 nt
Filed under: uncultured bacterium
Lineage: Bacteria
Description: partial 16S ribosomal RNA
Rfam family: Bacterial small subunit ribosomal RNA
Source: RNAcentral